GACGAACGCUGGCGGCGUGCUUAACACAUGCAAGUCGAACGGGCCCGCUCUUUUUUGGGGGCGGGUUGAGUGGCGAACAGGUGAGUAUCACGUGAGCAACCUGCCCUCCUCUCCUGGAUAACCGCUUGAAAGGGCGGCUAAUACGGGGUGUUCCGGUUGGUCCGCAUGGGCUGGUCGGGAAAGGUUCAUCGUUGUGGUGUUUCGGUGGGGGAUGGGCUCGCGGCCUAUCAGCUUGUUG
This 238-nucleotide ribosomal RNA is filed under the name uncultured Actinomyces sp. Its description in RNAcentral is "partial 16S ribosomal RNA". It matches the Rfam family "Bacterial small subunit ribosomal RNA", at positions 28 to 251 of the family's 1533-position model. The record is from RNAcentral. Lineage: Bacteria; Bacillati; Actinomycetota; Actinomycetes; Actinomycetales; Actinomycetaceae.